Molecule: ribosomal RNA, 253 nt
Filed under: uncultured bacterium
Lineage: Bacteria
Description: partial 16S ribosomal RNA
Rfam family: Bacterial small subunit ribosomal RNA
Source: RNAcentral
UACAGAGGGCGCAAACGUUGCUCGGAAUUACUGGGCGUAAAGCGUGCGUAGGCGGGUGGAUAAGUCGGGUGUGAAAUCCCUGGGCUCAACCCAGGAACUGCAUUCGAAACUGUCCAUCUAGAGUACCGGAGAGGAAAGCGGAAUUCUUGGUGUAGAGGUGAAAUUCGUAGAUAUCAGGAGGAACACCAGUGGCGAAGGCGGCUUUCUGGACGGUUACUGACGCUCAGACACGAAAGCGUGGGGAGCAAACAGG